RNAcentral lists this long non-coding RNA (581 nucleotides) under Homo sapiens (human). RNAcentral's name for it is "HSALNT0215462". The record is from RNAcentral. Lineage: Eukaryota; Metazoa; Chordata; Mammalia; Primates; Hominidae.
UGCCAGCCCUCAGAGAUUCCUUCUCCUCGCUGCUCCUCCUCUCCCAGUUCCUGCCCAGGCUGACUCUAUCAUACAAGCUGUAACUUCUGCCAGUCCUAUCAGCCAGCAAACAGUAAGUCAACCUGGCUCUGAAUACGAGGUGAAGGGAUAUUUCAAUCUAAGCUGCAUAUACCUUCUGUGUUUUCUGAUUAAAAUUUGCAAGCAAACCUUGGAAUAAACUCUACCUGACACGACUUCUAAAAUAAUUUACGCUUUUUGCAAACCUCGAAUGUAGGGAUUGAUUUUAGUUCCUGUCACUAUAUUUCAGAUCAUCAAAAAUGGAUCAGGGCUUUUAAGUGAAUUUAAUGACCAAAGAUGUUUCCUUUAAAAAAAGAAAUCACUGAGGUUAGAAGACAAAAUUCCUUAUCUAAAGCCACAGAAAAGUGUUCUUUUUUUUUCUUUUAAAAGUGGCCCAUAUUGAUCAUCAAAAAUUUGAAAAAUUCAGAAAUAAAAAGAAGAAAAAAUCACUCUUAAACAAAUCAGAGAUUCAUUCUUAUGCUUAUUUUAACACAUAAGCAUAUUUUUUCCAGUCUUAUCUGUGU